Molecule: long non-coding RNA, 490 nt
Filed under: Bos taurus (domestic cattle)
Lineage: Eukaryota; Metazoa; Chordata; Mammalia; Artiodactyla; Bovidae
Description: long non-coding RNA NONBTAT004729
Source: RNAcentral
GAAAGUAGCAAAGUUCUGAUCUUUAAUUAGAGUUUGCAGUAUACAGUUAUCUUUCUGUAAUCUGUGGUAACAAAUCUCCAUGUAAACACUCAGGAAGAGAAAAAACAGAGGAUACCAUGUCAUGACUUACAAACUAUGAAUUCUGAACUUGGAUUACUAAUUAUUCACAGCUGUUUUAUACAUUUAUUAACAAACUGUCUUCCUUCAUUUAACAAUGGCUCUUGAAUAACAAAAUAAAUUAUCAGUAAAUUCAACCAUACAACAGACAAUAACUGGGGUUAUUAGAUGUGAGAUGUAGUAAAAUAAAAGGUCAUGACCACUCAGAAGAUCACAUAAAUCUAAAACAUACUGUCGACUUUCUAGUCUCAACCUGUAGCUCUCAUUUAUUAAAUAAUUUACAAAGAGCUGUUGAUGAUUUAAUGAGCAGGUUGAACUUUGUCAUUCUGCCAUUUUGCUAGUCACGAACACAUGUGUUUUGCCUUUAAAAUGA